CCAUUUAAAGAAGUAAUACAUACACACCUGAUCUCAUCUGAUCUCAGAAGCUAAGCAGGAUCAGGCCUGGAUAAUACUUGGAUGAGAGAAGAAAUGCAUUUAUUUGGC
This 108-nucleotide ribosomal RNA is filed under the name Erinaceus europaeus (western European hedgehog). The record is from RNAcentral. Lineage: Eukaryota; Metazoa; Chordata; Mammalia; Eulipotyphla; Erinaceidae.